Molecule: ribosomal RNA, 253 nt
Filed under: uncultured bacterium
Lineage: Bacteria
Description: partial 16S ribosomal RNA
Rfam family: Bacterial small subunit ribosomal RNA
Source: RNAcentral
GACAGAGGAUGCAAGCGUUAUCCGGAAUGAUUGGGAGUAAAGCGUCUGUAGGUGGCUCUUCAAGUCCGCCAUCAAAUCCCAGGGCUCAACCCUGGACAGGCGGUGGAAACUACCAAGUUGGAGUACGGUAGGGGCAGAGGGAAUUUUCGGUGGAGUGGUGAAAUGCAUUGAGAUCGGAAAGAACACCAACGGCGAAAGCACUCUGCUGGGCCAACACUGACACUGAGAGAUGAAAGCUAGGGGAGCAAACAGG